Molecule: transfer RNA, 90 nt
Filed under: Lentisphaerae bacterium GWF2_49_21
Lineage: Bacteria; Pseudomonadati; Lentisphaerota
Also listed under: 4 other names
Description: tRNA-Ser
Rfam family: tRNA
About the family: Transfer RNA (tRNA) molecules are approximately 80 nucleotides in length.
Source: RNAcentral
GGAGAGAUGGCCGAGUGGUUGAAGGCGCACGCCUGGAAAGCGUGUAAACAGGUAACUGUUUCGGGGGUUCGAAUCCCUCUCUCUCCGCCA